This 329-nucleotide unclassified non-coding RNA is filed under the name soil metagenome. Its description in RNAcentral is "partial contains 5.8S ribosomal RNA, internal transcribed spacer 2, and large subunit ribosomal RNA". The stretch from base 1 to 120 matches the Rfam family "5.8S ribosomal RNA", at positions 35 to 154 of the family's 154-position model. The record is from RNAcentral.
GAUGAAGAACGUAGCAAAAUGCGAUAAGUAAUGUGAAUUGCAGAAUUCAGUGAAUCAUCGAAUCUUUGAACGCACAUUGCGCCCUCUGGUAUUCCGGGGGGCAUGCCUGUUCGAGCGUCAUUAUAACCACUCAAGCUCUCGCUUGGUAUUGGGGUUCGCGGUUCCGCGGCCCCUAAAAUCAGUGGCGGUGCCUGUCGGCUCUACGCGUAGUAAUACUCCUCGCGAUUGAGUCCGGUAGGUCUACUUGCCAGCAACCCCCAAUUUUUACAGGUUGACCUCGGAUCAGGUAGGGAUACCCGCUGAACUUAAGCAUAUCAAUAAGCGGAGGA